Molecule: ribosomal RNA, 2924 nt
Filed under: Klebsiella pneumoniae
Lineage: Bacteria; Pseudomonadati; Pseudomonadota; Gammaproteobacteria; Enterobacterales; Enterobacteriaceae
Description: bacterial LSU rRNA
Rfam family: Bacterial large subunit ribosomal RNA
Source: RNAcentral
GGGUUGUGAGGUUAAGCGACUAAGCGUACACGGUGGAUGCCCUGGCAGUCAGAGGCGAUGAAGGACGUGCUAAUCUGCGAAAAGCGUCGGUAAGGUGAUAUGAACCGUUACAGCCGGCGAUGUCCGAAUGGGGAAACCCAGUGCAAUUCGUUGCACUAUCGUUAACUGAAUACAUAGGUUAACGAGGCGAACCGGGGGAACUGAAACAUCUAAGUACCCCGAGGAAAAGAAAUCAACCGAGAUUCCCCCAGUAGCGGCGAGCGAACGGGGAGCAGCCCAGAGUCUGAAUCAGCUUGUGUGUUAGUGGAACGGUCUGGAAAGUCCGACGGUACAGGGUGAUAGUCCCGUACACCAAAAUGCACAGGCUGUGAACUCGAAGAGUAGGGCGGGACACGUGGUAUCCUGUCUGAAUAUGGGGGGACCAUCCUCCAAGGCUAAAUACUCCUGACUGACCGAUAGUGAACCAGUACCGUGAGGGAAAGGCGAAAAGAACCCCGGCGAGGGGAGUGAAAAAGAACCUGAAACCGUGUACGUACAAGCAGUGGGAGCACCUUCGGGUGUGACUGCGUACCUUUUGUAUAAUGGGUCAGCGACUUAUAUUCUGUAGCAAGGUUAACCGUAUAGGGGAGCCGCAGGGAAACCGAGUCUUAACUGGGCGUUAAGUUGCAGGGUAUAGACCCGAAACCCGGUGAUCUAGCCAUGGGCAGGUUGAAGGUUGGGUAACACUAACUGGAGGACCGAACCGACUAAUGUUGAAAAAUUAGCGGAUGACUUGUGGCUGGGGGUGAAAGGCCAAUCAAACCGGGAGAUAGCUGGUUCUCCCCGAAAGCUAUUUAGGUAGCGCCUCGUGAAUUCAUCUUCGGGGGUAGAGCACUGUUUCGGCUAGGGGGUCAUCCCGACUUACCAACCCGAUGCAAACUACGAAUACCGAAGAAUGUUAUCACGGGAGACACACGGCGGGUGCUAACGUCCGUCGUGAAGAGGGAAACAACCCAGACCGCCAGCUAAGGUCCCAAAGUCAUGGUUAAGUGGGAAACGAUGUGGGAAGGCACAGACAGCCAGGAUGUUGGCUUAGAAGCAGCCAUCAUUUAAAGAAAGCGUAAUAGCUCACUGGUCGAGUCGGCCUGCGCGGAAGAUGUAACGGGGCUAAACCAUGCACCGAAGCUGCGGCAGCGACACUAUGUGUUGUUGGGUAGGGGAGCGUUCUGUAAGCCUGCGAAGGUGACCUGUGAGGGUUGCUGGAGGUAUCAGAAGUGCGAAUGCUGACAUAAGUAACGAUAAAGCGGGUGAAAAGCCCGCUCGCCGGAAGACCAAGGGUUCCUGUCCAACGUUAAUCGGGGCAGGGUGAGUCGACCCCUAAGGCGAGGCCGAAAGGCGUAGUCGAUGGGAAACAGGUUAAUAUUCCUGUACUUGGUGUUACUGCGAAGGGGGGGACGGAGAAGGCUAUGUUAGCCGGGCGACGGUUGUCCCGGUUUAAGCAUGUAGGCUGGUUAUCCAGGCAAAUCCGGAUAAUCAAGGCUGAGGUGUGAUGACGAGGCACUACGGUGCUGAAGUAACAAAUGCCCUGCUUCCAGGAAAAGCCUCUAAGCAUCAGGUAACAUCAAAUCGUACCCCAAACCGACACAGGUGGUCAGGUAGAGAAUACCAAGGCGCUUGAGAGAACUCGGGUGAAGGAACUAGGCAAAAUGGUGCCGUAACUUCGGGAGAAGGCACGCUGGUGUGUAGGUGAAGUCCCUGCGGAUGGAGCUGAGACCAGUCGAAGAUACCAGCUGGCUGCAACUGUUUAUUAAAAACACAGCACUGUGCAAACACGAAAGUGGACGUAUACGGUGUGACGCCUGCCCGGUGCCGGAAGGUUAAUUGAUGGGGUUAUCCGUAAGGAGAAGCUCUUGAUCGAAGCCCCGGUAAACGGCGGCCGUAACUAUAACGGUCCUAAGGUAGCGAAAUUCCUUGUCGGGUAAGUUCCGACCUGCACGAAUGGCGUAAUGAUGGCCAGGCUGUCUCCACCCGAGACUCAGUGAAAUUGAACUCGCUGUGAAGAUGCAGUGUACCCGCGGCAAGACGGAAAGACCCCGUGAACCUUUACUAUAGCUUGACACUGAACAUUGAGCCUUGAUGUGUAGGAUAGGUGGGAGGCUUUGAAGCGUGGACGCCAGUCUGCGUGGAGCCAACCUUGAAAUACCACCCUUUAAUGUUUGAUGUUCUAACGUUGGCCCCUUACCGGGGUUGCGGACAGUGUCUGGUGGGUAGUUUGACUGGGGCGGUCUCCUCCCAAAGCGUAACGGAGGAGCACGAAGGUUAGCUAAUCCUGGUCGGACAUCAGGAGGUUAGUGCAAUGGCAUAAGCUAGCUUGACUGCGAGCGUGACGGCGCGAGCAGGUGCGAAAGCAGGUCAUAGUGAUCCGGUGGUUCUGAAUGGAAGGGCCAUCGCUCAACGGAUAAAAGGUACUCCGGGGAUAACAGGCUGAUACCGCCCAAGAGUUCAUAUCGACGGCGGUGUUUGGCACCUCGAUGUCGGCUCAUCACAUCCUGGGGCUGAAGUAGGUCCCAAGGGUAUGGCUGUUCGCCAUUUAAAGUGGUACGCGAGCUGGGUUUAGAACGUCGUGAGACAGUUCGGUCCCUAUCUGCCGUGGGCGCUGGAGAAUUGAGGGGGGCUGCUCCUAGUACGAGAGGACCGGAGUGGACGCAUCACUGGUGUUCGGGUUGUCAUGCCAAUGGCACUGCCCGGUAGCUAAAUGCGGAAGAGAUAAGUGCUGAAAGCAUCUAAGCACGAAACUUGCCCCGAGAUGAGUUCUCCCUGAGACUUUAAGUCUCCUGAAGGAACGUUAAAGACGAUGACGUUGAUAGGCCGGGUGUGUAAGCGCAGCGAUGCGUUGAGCUAACCGGUACUAAUGAACCGUGAGGCUUAACCUUACAACGCCGAAG